RNAcentral lists this ribosomal RNA (497 nucleotides) under uncultured bacterium. Its description in RNAcentral is "partial 16S ribosomal RNA". It matches the Rfam family "Bacterial small subunit ribosomal RNA", at positions 28 to 507 of the family's 1533-position model. The record is from RNAcentral.
GAUGAACGCUGGCGGCGUGCCUAAUACAUGCAAGUCGAGCGAACGGACGAGAAGCUUGCUUCUCUGAUGUUAGCGGCGGACGGGUGAGUAACACGUGGAUAACCUACCUAUAAGACUGGGAUAACUUCGGGAAACCGUAGCUAAUACCGGAUAAUAUUUUGAACCGCAUGGUUCAAAAGUGAAAGACGGUCUUGCCGUCACUUAUAGAUGGAUCCGCGCUGCAUUAGCUAGUUGGUAAGGUAACGGCUUACCAAGGCAACGAUGCAUAGCCGACCUGAGAGGGUGAUCGGCCACACUGGAACUGAGACACGGUCCAGACUCCUACGGGAGGCAGCAGUAGGGAAUCUUCCGCAAUGGGCGAAAGCCUGACGGAGCAACGCCGCGUGAGUGAUGAAGGUCUUCGGAUCGUAAAACUCUGUUAUUAGGGAAGAACAUAUGUGUAAGUAACUGUGCACAUCUUGACGGUUCCUAAUCAGAAAGCCACGGCUAACUACGUG